This 468-nucleotide ribosomal RNA is filed under the name uncultured bacterium. RNAcentral's name for it is "partial 16S ribosomal RNA". It matches the Rfam family "Bacterial small subunit ribosomal RNA", at positions 28 to 507 of the family's 1533-position model. The record is from RNAcentral.
GACGAACGCUGGCGGCGUGCUUAACACAUGCAAGUCGAACGGAAAGGCCCUGCUUUUGUGGGGUGCUCGAGUGGCGAACGGGUGAGUAACACGUGAGUAACCUGCCCUUGACUUUGGGAUAACUUCAGGAAACUGGGGCUAAUACCGGAUAGGAGCUCCUGCUGCAUGGUGGGGGUUGGAAAGUUUCGGCGGUUGGGGAUGGACUCGCGGCUUAUCAGCUUGUUGGGGGGGUAGUGGCUUACCAAGGCUUUGACGGGUAGCCGGCCUGAGAGGGUGACCGGCCACAUUGGGACUGAGAUACGGCCCAGACUCCUACGGGAGGCAGCAGUGGGGAAUAUUGCACAAUGGGCGGAAGCCUGAUGCAGCAACGCCGCGUGCGGGAUGACGGCCUUCGUGUUGUAAACCGCUUUCGCCUGUGACGAAGCGUGAGUGACGGUAAUGGGUAAAGAAGCACCGGCUAACUACGUG